Molecule: ribosomal RNA, 483 nt
Filed under: uncultured bacterium
Lineage: Bacteria
Description: partial 16S ribosomal RNA
Rfam family: Bacterial small subunit ribosomal RNA
Source: RNAcentral
GACGAACGCUGGCGGCGUGCUUAACACAUGCAAGUCGAACGCUGAAGCUCAGCUUUUGUUGGGUGGAUGAGUGGCGAACGGGUGAGUAACACGUGAGUAACCUGCCUCCUUCUUUGGGAUAACGCCCGGAAACGGGUGCUAAUACUGGAUAUUCACUGGUCUUCGCAUGGGGGUUGGUGGAAAGGGUUUUUCUGGUGGGGGAUGGGCUCGCGGCCUAUCAGCUUGUUGGUGGGGUGAUGGCCUACCAAGGCUUUGACGGGUAGCCGGCCUGAGAGGGUGACCGGUCACAGUGGGACUGAGAUACGGCCCAGACUCCUACGGGAGGCAGCAGUGGGGAAUAAUGCACAAUGGGCGCAGGCCUGAUGCAGCGACGCCGCGUGAGGGAUGGAGGCCGUCGGGUUGUGAACCUCUUUCGCUAAUGGUCAAGCCGCAACAAUGGUUGUGGUGAGGGUAGUGGGUAAAGAAGCGCCGGCUAACUACGUG